GGGGUUGACCGGUUUUGACAGCGGGCAGAAGUGGUUUGUAAGCAUGCAGUGCGUCGUUGUCCGGCACUCUAAUCACGGAUGAUAAAAUUCAACUGGCGAAAAUAAUUACGCUCUCGCUGCUUGAUCGAAGUAUAGUAGAUCUUAAGCUUUAUUCCUUCUCCAGGAGUUGGAACGAGACAUCACCCGGAGCUGUGGCUUCGAAGCGAUCCGAUCAGGUGGUGCAGCUAUAUCGGAGAUAGUCUGAAGGAAGUCCCGGACUUUAGAUGAAAUUCAGGGAAUAAGCCCAACAUUGGUGGCCUCAGUCUUGUGUUGAGUCGAAAAAUAAAGUGAGGAUAAGCAUGUAGAAAGCAAAUUAAUUCCUCGUUUGGACGAGGGUUCGAAUCCCUCCAGCUCCACC
Molecule: transfer-messenger RNA, 397 nt
Filed under: Bacteroidia bacterium
Lineage: Bacteria; Pseudomonadati; Bacteroidota; Bacteroidia
Rfam family: transfer-messenger RNA
About the family: Bacterial tmRNA, also known as 10Sa RNA or SsrA, is named for its dual tRNA and mRNA-like properties. Its role is to liberate the mRNA from a stalled ribosome.
Source: RNAcentral